Molecule: long non-coding RNA, 246 nt
Filed under: Physcomitrium patens
Lineage: Eukaryota; Viridiplantae; Streptophyta; Bryopsida; Funariales; Funariaceae
Description: long non-coding RNA (PPAT_LNC000414)
Source: RNAcentral
ACAUUGUAGCUCUUUUCGAUCUCUUUUGCUUCUCAAUGUGCCAUGAAUUGUUUAUCCCUUUUCACACCCACACACCCCACAACUCCCCAACUCGACACACAAAACGCCAAAAAGACACAAAAAAUAAUCUAUCAAUCCAUAGUAAAUGAAAUCAUUGAGCCCAGAAGAAAAUGAAAAUAAGGAAAAAAAAAAAAAGAAUAGUUAAAGCCAUUUGUUCUUAGAAAGGGUACAAAGCAAAGCACGAAG